GACGAACGCUGGCGGCGUGCUUAACACAUGCAAGUCGAACGGAAAGGCCCUGCUUUUGUGGGGUGCUCGAGUGGCGAACGGGUGAGUAACACGUGAGUAACCUGCCCUUGACUUUGGGAUAACUUCAGGAAACUGGGGCUAAUACCGGAUAGGAGCUCCUGCUGCAUGGUGGGGGUUGGAAAGUUUCGGCGGUUGGGGAUGGACUUGCGGCUUAUCAGCUUGUUGGUGGGGUAGUGGCUUACCAAGGCUUUGACGGGUAGCCGGCCUGAGAGGGUGACCGGCCACAUUGGGACUGAGAUACGGCCCAGACGCCUACGGGAGGCAACAGUGGGGAAUAUUGCACAAUGGGCGGAAGCCUGAUGCAGCAACGCCGCGUGCGGGAUGACGGCCUUCGGGUUGUAAACCGCUUUCGCCUGUGACGAAGCGUGAGUGACGGUAAUGGGUAAAGAAGCACCGGCUAACUACGU
RNAcentral lists this ribosomal RNA (467 nucleotides) under uncultured bacterium. RNAcentral describes it as "partial 16S ribosomal RNA". It matches the Rfam family "Bacterial small subunit ribosomal RNA", at positions 28 to 506 of the family's 1533-position model. The record is from RNAcentral.